This 942-nucleotide ribosomal RNA is filed under the name uncultured bacterium. Its description in RNAcentral is "bacterial SSU rRNA". It matches the Rfam family "Bacterial small subunit ribosomal RNA", at positions 469 to 1399 of the family's 1533-position model. The record is from RNAcentral.
UUGACGGUACCUGACUAAGAAGCCCCGGCUAACUACGUGCCAGCAGCCGCGGUAAUACGUAGGGGGCGAGCGUUAUCCGGAAUUAUUGGGCGUAAAGAGUACGUAGGUGGUUUUGUAAGCGUAGGGUGAAAGCCCGGGGCUCAACUCCGGCGAGCCCUACGAACUGCAAGACUUGAGUGCAGGAGGGGAAAGGAGAAUUCCUGUGUGUACGCGGAGAAAUGUCGUAAGUUAUCGAGAGAGAGAACACCGCGCGUGGGAGAGAGGGGCAUUUCUCGGGCACUGUAAUCUGACGCUGAGGCACGAAAGUGUGGGGAGCAAACAGGAUUAGAUACCCUGGUAGUCCACACCGUAAACGAUGAUUACUAGGUGUAGGGUGGUCAGACCAUUCUGUGCCGGAGUUAACACAAUAAGUAAUCCACCUGGGGAGUACGGCCGCAAGGUUGAAACUCAAAGGAAUUGACGGGGGCCCGCACAAGCAGUGGAGUAUGUGGUUUAAUUCGAAGCUACGCGGAAAACCUUACCAGGUCUUGACAUCUGACUAACGAAACAGAGAUGUAUUAGGUGCCCUUCGGGGAAAGUCAAGACAGGUGGUGCAUGGUUGUCGUCAGCUCGUGUCGUGAGAUGUUGGGUUAAGUCCCGCAACGAGCGCAACCCUUGUUGUCAGUUGCUACGCAAGAGCACUCUGGCAAGACUGCCGUUGACAAAACGGAGGAAGGUGGGGAUGACGUCAAAUCAUCAUGCCCUUUAUGACCUGGGCCACACACGUACUACAAUGGCGGUCAACAAAGGGGAGCGACGGAGUGAUCCGAAGCAAAUCCCAAAAAGCCGUCUCAGUUCAGACUGCAGGCUGCAACUCGCCUGCACGAAGUCGGAAUUGCUAGUAAUCGUGAAUCAGCAUGUCACGGUGAAUACGUUCCCGGGCCUUGUACACACCGCCGGUCA